This 115-nucleotide transfer RNA is filed under the name Chloroflexota bacterium. RNAcentral describes it as "Chloroflexi bacterium (groundwater metagenome) tRNA-OTHER". It matches the Rfam family "tRNA". From Rfam's summary of the family: Transfer RNA (tRNA) molecules are approximately 80 nucleotides in length. Their secondary structure includes four short double-helical elements and three loops (D, anti-codon, and T loops). Further hydrogen bonds mediate the characteristic L-shaped molecular structure. tRNAs have two regions of fundamental functional importance: the anti-codon, which is responsible for specific mRNA codon recognition, and the 3' end, to which the tRNAs corresponding amino acid is attached (by aminoacyl-tRNA synthetases). tRNAs cope with the degeneracy of the genetic code in two manners: having more than one tRNA (with a specific anti-codon) for a particular amino acid; and 'wobble' base-pairing, i.e. permitting non-standard base-pairing at the 3rd anti-codon position. The record is from RNAcentral. Lineage: Bacteria; Bacillati; Chloroflexota.
GGGGUUGUGGUGAAAUGGUAGACACGCCCGCCUUCCUCUGAGUCUGAGCUACGGUUCAGACCUAGAGGAAGCGGGUGCCCGAAAGGGCGUGAGGGUUCGAGUCCCUUCAUCCCCA